This 497-nucleotide ribosomal RNA is filed under the name uncultured bacterium. RNAcentral's name for it is "partial 16S ribosomal RNA". It matches the Rfam family "Bacterial small subunit ribosomal RNA", at positions 28 to 507 of the family's 1533-position model. The record is from RNAcentral.
GAUGAACGCUGGCGGCGUGCCUAAUACAUGCAAGUCGAGCGAACAGACGAGGAGCUUUCUCCUCUGACGUUAGCGGCGGACGGGUGAGUAACACGUGGAUAACCUACCUAUAAGACUGGGAUAACUUCGGGAAACCGGAUCUACUACCGGAUAAUAUAUUGAACCGCAUGGUUCAAUAGUGAAAGACGGUUUUGCUGUCACUUAUAGAUGGAUCCGCGCCGCAUUAGCUAGUUGGUAAGGUAACGGCUUACCAAGGCAACGAUGCGUAGCCGACCUGAGAGGGUGAUCGGCCACACUGGAACUGAGACACGGUCCAGACUCCUACGGGAGGCAGCAGUAGGGAAUCUUCCGCAAUGGGCGAAAGCCUGACGGAGCAACGCCGCGUGAGUGAUGAAGGUCUUCGGAUCGUAAAACUCUGUUAUUGGGGAAGAACAAAUGUGUAAGUAACUAUGCACGUCUUGACGGUACCUAAUCAGAAAGCCACGGCUAACUACGUG